GGAUCAUUACACAAAUAUGAAGGCGGGCUGGAAUCUCUCGGGGUUACAGCCUUGCUGAAUUAUUCACCCUUGUCUUUUGCGUACUUCUUGUUUCCUUGGUGGGUUCGCCCACCACUAGGACAAACAUAAACCUUUUGUAAUUGCAAUCAGCGUCAGUAACAAAUUAAUAAUUACAACUUUCAACAACGGAUCUCUUGGUUCUGGCAUCGAUGAAGAACGCAGCGAAAUGCGAUAAGUAGUGUGAAUUGCAGAAUUCAGUGAAUCAUCGAAUCUUUGAACGCACAUUGCGCCCUUUGGUAUUCCAAAGGGCAUGCCUGUUCGAGCGUCAUUUGUACCCUCAAGCUUUGCUUGGUGUUGGGCGUCUUGUCUCUAGCUUUGCUGGAGACUCGCCUUAAAGUAAUUGGCAGCCGGCCUACUGGUUUCGGAGCGCAGCACAAGUCGCACUCUCUAUCAGCAAAGGUCUAGCAUCCAUUAAGCCUUUUUUUCAACUUUUGACCUCGGAUCAGGUAGGGAUACCCGCUGAACUUAAGCAUAUCAAUAAGCGGAGGAAAAGAAACCAACAGGGAUUGCCCUAGUAACGGCGAGUGAAGCGGCAACAGCUCAAAUUUGAAAUCUGGCUCUUUUAGAGUCCGAGUUGUAAUUUGCAGAGGGCGCUUUGGCUUUGGCAGCGGUCCAAGUUCCUUGGAACAGGACGUCACAGAGGGUGAGAAUCCCGUACGUGGUCGCUGGCUAUUGCCGUGUAAAGCCCCUUCGACGAGUCGAGUUGUUUGGGAAUGCAGCUCUAAAUGGGAGGUACAUUUCUUCUAAAGCUAAAUAUUGGCCAGAGACCGAUAGCGCACAAGUAGAGUGAUCGAAAGAUGAAAAGCACUUUGGAAAGAGAGUCAAACAGCACGUGAAAUUGUUGAAAGGGAAGCGCUUGCAGCCAGACUUGCUUACAGUUGCUCAUCCGGGUUUUUACCCGGUGCACUCUUCUGUAGGCAGGCCAGCAUCAGUUUGGGCGGUAGGAUAAAGGUCUCUGUCACGUACCUCCUUUCGGGGAGGCCUUAUAGGGGAGACGACAUACUACCAGCCUGG
This 1074-nucleotide ribosomal RNA is filed under the name Dothideomycetes sp. genotype 46. Its description in RNAcentral is "eukaryotic LSU rRNA". The stretch from base 493 to 1074 matches the Rfam family "Eukaryotic large subunit ribosomal RNA", at positions 1 to 587 of the family's 3401-position model. The record is from RNAcentral. Lineage: Eukaryota; Fungi; Ascomycota; Dothideomycetes.